GGGGGGAAAAUUAAUAAAUAUUAGUAUAAAAAAAGAAAUUUUAAAGUAAAAUACUGAAUGGGGGUUUAAGUAUUUUUAUGGAAAAAAUUUUUAAUUUUAUAGAAAAUUAGUAUUGUAAAAGAAUUUUGAAAAAUAAUUAAAGUAAAUUUAAUAAAAAGUAAAUUUAAUUUAUUGUAUCUUGGGUAUCAGAGUUUAUUAAAAAUAAAUUAUAUUAAUAAUAAUCUCGAAUUUAAAAGAGUUAAUUGAUUAUUUAAAUUAGUGUUUUAAAAUUAUUUAAAAUAAUUAAUUAGAAAUGAAAUGUUAAUCGUUUUUAAAUAUAUCUAGUUUUUUUAGAAAAAAAUUUAAUUUUAAAUAUUAUUAAUUUUAAUUUUUAUUAAUAAAAAUUAAAAAAAAGUAAAUAUUUUAUAUUUUAAGGGAUAAGCUUUAAAUUAAAUUUUUAUAAUUGGAUUUAUUUUUAAAAAUAAAAUUUUUAAGAUUUAUAUUUUUUAUAAAUUAUAAUUUUUUAUAAAUAAUUUUAUUAAAAUUAAAAUUUAAAAUUUAUAUUUAAAUAUUUAUAAAAAAAUAAUUUUUAAUAAAAAAAAAUUAGGUAUAAUGAUAAAAUUAGUACAAAAUUUUAUAAAUGAGAAAAUAAAAAUUUAUAAAAUUUAAAUAAAGGAAUUCGGCAAAAAA
This 669-nucleotide ribosomal RNA is filed under the name Leptidea sinapis. RNAcentral describes it as "partial 16S ribosomal RNA". Lineage: Eukaryota; Metazoa; Arthropoda; Insecta; Lepidoptera; Pieridae. The record is from RNAcentral.